RNAcentral lists this ribosomal RNA (201 nucleotides) under uncultured bacterium. RNAcentral's name for it is "partial 16S ribosomal RNA". It matches the Rfam family "Bacterial small subunit ribosomal RNA", at positions 328 to 539 of the family's 1533-position model. The record is from RNAcentral.
ACGCUCGACACCUACGGGAGGCAGCAGUUAGGAAUAUUGGGCAAUGGAGGAAACUCUGACCCAGCAACGCCGCGUGAAGGAAGAAGGUUUUCGGAUUGUAAACUUCUGAUCUAGGGGAAGAAGGAAGUGACGGUACCCUAGGAGAAAGCCACGGCUAACUACGUGGCAGCAGCCGCGGUAAUCUGAGCGGGCUGGCAAGGC